Molecule: ribosomal RNA, 460 nt
Filed under: uncultured bacterium
Lineage: Bacteria
Description: partial 16S ribosomal RNA
Rfam family: Bacterial small subunit ribosomal RNA
Source: RNAcentral
CCUACGGGAGGCAGCAGUGAGGAAUAUUGGUCAAUGGACGAGAGUCUGAACCAGCCAAGUAGCGUGAAGGAUGACUGCCCUAUGGGUUGUAAACUUCUUUUAUAAAGGAAUAAAACGAGGCACGUGUGCCUUGUUGCAUGUACUUUAUGAAUAAGGAUCGGCUAACUCCGUGCCAGCAGCCGCGGUAAUACGGAGGAUCCGAGCGUUAUCCGGAUUUAUUGGGUUUAAAGGGAGCGUAGAUGGGUUGUUAAGUCAGUUGUGAAAGUUUGCGGCUCAACCGUAAAAUUGCAAUUGAUACUGGCAGUCUUGAGUACAGAUGCGGUAGGCGGAAUUCGUGGUGUAGCGGUGAAAUGCUUAGAUAUCACGCAGAACCCCGAUUGCGAAGGCAGCUUACUAAACUGUGACUGACAUUGAUGCUCGAAAGUGUGGGUAUCAAACAGGAUUAGAUACCCGGGUAGUC